RNAcentral lists this ribosomal RNA (163 nucleotides) under Eragrostis capensis. RNAcentral's name for it is "5.8S ribosomal RNA". It matches the Rfam family "5.8S ribosomal RNA". From Rfam's summary of the family: 5.8S ribosomal RNA (5.8S rRNA) is a component of the large subunit of the eukaryotic ribosome. It is transcribed by RNA polymerase I as part of the 45S precursor that also contains 18S and 28S rRNA. The record is from RNAcentral. Lineage: Eukaryota; Viridiplantae; Streptophyta; Magnoliopsida; Poales; Poaceae.
CACACGACUCUCGGCAACGGAUAUCUCGGCUCUCGCAUCGAUGAAGAACGUAGCAAAAUGCGAUACCUGGUGUGAAUUGCAGAAUCCCGCGAACCAUCGAGUUUUUGAACGCAAGUUGCGCCCGAGACCUUCUGGUUGAGGGCACGUCUGCCUGGGCGUCACG